RNAcentral lists this long non-coding RNA (267 nucleotides) under Lathyrus oleraceus (garden pea). RNAcentral's name for it is "Pisum sativum (pea) long non-coding RNA (PSAT_LNC005217)". Lineage: Eukaryota; Viridiplantae; Streptophyta; Magnoliopsida; Fabales; Fabaceae. The record is from RNAcentral.
AGCAAAGAGACAUGAACGAUGAUGGAUGUCGUUGCUGAAACGUGUGAGGUUUUGGCCAAAAACAUUGAGUUCAUGAUGUUGCAGAAAUCAAAGGGAGGUUGAAAAUGAAGCUAAUUCACGCGUGAUUCAAAUCUCCACCCAGUGGGAUAGCGUCAGCACAUUUUUUCAAACCACAUAGUCGUUGGUGCCCUUUUCCUUUUAUUUGUUUUAGUUUAUUUUCAUUUUUUUAUUUCUAUUUGUUUUCCAAUUAAUUUCUCACUCAUUUUU